RNAcentral lists this ribosomal RNA (325 nucleotides) under uncultured bacterium. Its description in RNAcentral is "bacterial SSU rRNA". It matches the Rfam family "Bacterial small subunit ribosomal RNA", at positions 28 to 334 of the family's 1533-position model. The record is from RNAcentral.
GAUGAACGCUGGCGGCGUGCUUAACACAUGCAAGUCGAACGGAGCACCCUUGAAUGAGGAUUCGUCCAAAGGAUAGGAAUGCUUAGUGGCGGACGGGUGAGUAACGCGUGAGGAACCUGCCUUGGAGUGGGGAAUAACAGUUAGAAAUAGCUGCUAAUACCGCAUAAUGCAACUAAGUCGCAUGGCUUUGGUUGCCAAAGAUUUAUCGCUCUGAGAUGGCCUCGCGUCUGAUUAGAUAGUUGGCGGGGUAACGGCCCACCAAGUCGACGAUCAGUAGCCGGACUGAGAGGUUGGCCGGCCACAUUGGGACUGAGACACGGCCCAG